ACGCUCGACACCUACGGGGGGCAGCAGUGGGGAAUAUUGCACAAUGGGGGAAACCCUGAUGCAGCGACGCCGCGUGAGCGAAGAAGUAUUUCGGUAUGUAAAGCUCUAUCAGCAGGGAAGAAACUGACGGUACCUGACUAAGAAGCACCGGCUAAAUACGUGCCAGGAGCCGCGGUAAUCUGAGCGGGCUGGCAAGGC
RNAcentral lists this ribosomal RNA (198 nucleotides) under uncultured bacterium. RNAcentral's name for it is "partial 16S ribosomal RNA". It matches the Rfam family "Bacterial small subunit ribosomal RNA", at positions 328 to 539 of the family's 1533-position model. The record is from RNAcentral.